RNAcentral lists this transfer RNA (71 nucleotides) under Candidatus Saccharimonadota bacterium. RNAcentral describes it as "tRNA-Met". It matches the Rfam family "tRNA". From Rfam's summary of the family: Transfer RNA (tRNA) molecules are approximately 80 nucleotides in length. Their secondary structure includes four short double-helical elements and three loops (D, anti-codon, and T loops). Further hydrogen bonds mediate the characteristic L-shaped molecular structure. tRNAs have two regions of fundamental functional importance: the anti-codon, which is responsible for specific mRNA codon recognition, and the 3' end, to which the tRNAs corresponding amino acid is attached (by aminoacyl-tRNA synthetases). tRNAs cope with the degeneracy of the genetic code in two manners: having more than one tRNA (with a specific anti-codon) for a particular amino acid; and 'wobble' base-pairing, i.e. permitting non-standard base-pairing at the 3rd anti-codon position. The record is from RNAcentral. Lineage: Bacteria; Candidatus Saccharimonadota.
AGCGGGUUGGUGUAAUGGCAACACGGUCGGCUCAUAACCGACAGUACGAAGUUCGAAUCUUCGACCCGCUA